This 400-nucleotide ribosomal RNA is filed under the name uncultured bacterium. RNAcentral's name for it is "bacterial SSU rRNA". It matches the Rfam family "Bacterial small subunit ribosomal RNA", at positions 355 to 772 of the family's 1533-position model. The record is from RNAcentral.
UGGGGAAUAUUGGACAAUGGGCGCAAGCCUGAUCCAGCCAUGCCGCGUGAGUGAAGAAGGCCCUAGGGUUGUAAAGCUCUUUCAGCGGGGACAAUAAUGACGGUACCCGCAGAAGAAGCCCCGGCUAACUUCGUGCCAGCAGCCGCGGUAAUACGAAGGGGGCUAGCGUUGUUCGGAUUUACUGGGCGUAAAGCGCGCGUAGGCGGACGUUUAAGUCAGGGGUGAAAUCCCAGGGCUCAACCCUGGAACGGCCUUUGAUACUGGACGUCUGGAGAUCGGGAGAGGUUGGUGGAAUUCCGAGUGUAGAGGUGAAAUUCGUAGAUAUUCGGAGGAACACCAGAAGCGAAGGCGGCCAACUGGCCCGAUACUGACGCUGAGGCGCGAAAGCGUGGGGGGCAAA